CAGCCCGNGNUAAUACGUAGGGUGCAANCGUUNUCCGGAAUUAUUGGGCGUAAAGAGCUNGUAGGCGGUUUNUNGCGUCUGCUGUGAAAACCNGAGGUUCAACCUCGGGGCUUGCAGUGGGUACGGGCAGAUUAGAGUGCGNUAGGGGAGAUUGGAAUUCCUGGUGUAGCGGUGGAAUGCGCAGAUAUCAGGAGGAACACCGAUGGNGAAGGCAGAUCUNUGGGCCGUAACUGACGCUGAGGAGCGAAAGCAUGGGGAGCGAACAGGAUUAGAUCACCCUGGUAGUCCAUGCCGUAAACGUUGGGAACUAGAUGUAGGGGCCAUUCCACGGUUUCUGUGUCGCAGCUAACGCAUUAAGUUCCCCGCCUGGGGAGUACGGCCGCAAGGCUAAAACUCAAAGGAAUUGACGGGGGCCCGCACAAGCGGCGGAGCAUGCGGAUUAAUUCGAUGCAACGCGAAGAACCUUACCAAGGCUUGACAUAUACCGGAAAAGUUCAGAAAANUCUUCCC
Molecule: ribosomal RNA, 510 nt
Filed under: actinobacterium RG-40
Lineage: Bacteria; Bacillati; Actinomycetota; Actinomycetes
Description: partial 16S ribosomal RNA
Rfam family: Bacterial small subunit ribosomal RNA
Source: RNAcentral